CCUAGGGUAUAUAAACCAUGUAUUGUAACAUAUUGAGAUAAAAAACCAAUACAAAGCUUUUCUCCCCAAAUUCUUCAUCUCUUUAUGGUUUGCACGCCACCCUAGGUAGAGAUCAAGGAAAACCCUGGUGUCACCUUCUUUGGAGCAGGUUGCUGGUGUUCUUGAGUAUCCACAUCUUGAAAAUCUGCACAAUAUUUAGUAUCAGAGUUAGGUAGAGCGUGGAGAAGGAAGGAGAUGUCAGGAUUGAAAUUCUCUGUCAAAGGUAUCUUUCUCAAUCAAACCUGUGUUGUUUGUGAUUGUGAUUUGAGACAUCAUGAAUAGUGGAUUGAAGAUCAAUUUUGAGAAAUUUGAUGGAAAGGAGAACUUCUCAAUGUAGAAGACAAGGGUGGAGGAUCUAUUGGUUCCGCAAGAGCUGGAUCUGACUUUGGAGAAAAAGCUAGAGGAGAUGACAAAUCAGGCUUGGAGUUCUCUAGAGUAGAGGGCAUGUUCGCUGAUCAGAUGGUAUUUGGUGGACUCGAUGUUGUACGGC
RNAcentral lists this long non-coding RNA (529 nucleotides) under Elaeis guineensis (African oil palm). RNAcentral's name for it is "long non-coding RNA (EGUI_LNC052225)". The record is from RNAcentral. Lineage: Eukaryota; Viridiplantae; Streptophyta; Magnoliopsida; Arecales; Arecaceae.